RNAcentral lists this ribosomal RNA (385 nucleotides) under uncultured bacterium. RNAcentral describes it as "bacterial SSU rRNA". It matches the Rfam family "Bacterial small subunit ribosomal RNA", at positions 29 to 416 of the family's 1533-position model. The record is from RNAcentral.
AUUGAACGCUGGCGGAAUGCCUUACACAUGCAAGUCGAACGGCAGCACGGGAGCAAUCCUGGUGGCGAGUGGCGAACGGGUGAGUAAUACAUCGGAACGUGCCCAAUCGUGGGGGAUAACGUAGCGAAAGCUACGCUAAUACCGCAUACGAUCUACGGAUGAAAGCGGGGGAUCGCAAGACCUCGCGCGAAUGGAGCGGCCGAUGGCAGAUUAGGUAGUUGGNGGGGUAAAGGCUCACCAAGCCUGCGAUCUGUAGCUGGUCUGAGAGGACGACCUGCCACACUGGGACUGAGACACGGCCCAGACUCCUACGGGAGGCAGCAGUGGGAAUUUUGGACAAUGGGCGCAAGCCUGAUCCAGCCAUUCCGCGUGCAGGAUGAAGGCC